AAAAACAUUGUCCCAUGAAUAAAAUAUGGGAUAAUACCUGCCCAGUGACACUUGUUCAACGGCCGCGGUAUCCUAACCGUGCAAAGGUAGCAUAAUAACUUGCCUAUUAAUUGUAGGCUAGAAUGAAGGGGUUAACGAAAUAAAGACUGUCUCAAUUAAUUAACUAAAAAUUAUUUUCUAUCUGAAGAAAGGUAGAUAAACUCGAAGGACAAGAAGACCCUAUAGAGCUUAAUUUUAACUAUAGGCCCACUCUAUAUAAAUAUUCGGUUGGGGCGACCCAGGGCUAAUUAAUCACCCACUAUAUAAAAGAUACAUUAAUCAAGCAAGUGACCCUUAAAGAUCACAAAAACAAGCUACCUUAGGGAUAACAGGCUAAUCCCACUUAAGAGUUCUUAUCAACAGUGGGGAUUGGCACCUCGAUGUUGGCUUAGGGUAUCUAUAUAGCGCAAAAGUUAUAUAAAGAUGGUUUGUUCAACCAAUGACACCCUACGUGAUC
RNAcentral lists this ribosomal RNA (496 nucleotides) under Megascolecidae sp. SC201735-01. RNAcentral's name for it is "partial large subunit ribosomal RNA". It matches the Rfam family "Bacterial large subunit ribosomal RNA", at positions 1809 to 2605 of the family's 2925-position model. The record is from RNAcentral. Lineage: Eukaryota; Metazoa; Annelida; Clitellata; Crassiclitellata; Megascolecidae.